GAUGAACGCUGGCGGCGUGCCUAAUACAUGCAAGUCGAGCGAACAGACGAGGAGCUUGCUCCUCUGACGUUAGCGGCGGACGGGAGAGUAACACGUGGAUAACCUACCUAUAAGACUGGGAUAACUUCGGGAAACCGGAGCUAAUACCGGAUAAUAUAUUGAACCGCAUGGUUCAAUAGUGAAAGACGGUUUUGCUGUCACUUAUAGAUGGAUCCGCGCCGCAUUAGCUAGUUGGUAAGGUAGCGGCUUACCAAGGCAACGAUGCGUAGCCGACCUGAGAGGGUGAUCGGCCACACUGGAACUGAGACACGGUCCAGACUCCUACGGGAGGCAGCAGUAGGGAAUCUUCCGCAAAGGGCGAAAGCCUGACGGAGCAACGCCGCGUGAGUGAUGAAGGUCUUCGGAUCGUAAAACUCUGUUAUUAGGGAAGAACAAAUGUGUAAGUAACUAUGCACGUCUUGACGGUACCUAAUCAGAAAGCCACGGCUAACUACGUG
This 497-nucleotide ribosomal RNA is filed under the name uncultured bacterium. RNAcentral's name for it is "partial 16S ribosomal RNA". It matches the Rfam family "Bacterial small subunit ribosomal RNA", at positions 28 to 507 of the family's 1533-position model. The record is from RNAcentral.